Molecule: ribosomal RNA, 232 nt
Filed under: uncultured bacterium
Lineage: Bacteria
Description: partial 16S ribosomal RNA
Rfam family: Bacterial small subunit ribosomal RNA
Source: RNAcentral
CGGACGGGUGAGUAAUGUAUGGGGAUCUGCCCGAUGGAGGGGGAUAACUACUGGAAACGGUAGCUAAUACCGCAUAACGUCGCAAGACCAAAGAGGGGGACCUUCGGGCCUCUUGCCAUCGGAUGUGCCCAGAUGGGAUUAGCUAGUAGGUGGGGUAACGGCUCACCUAGGCGACGAUCCCUAGCUGGUCUGAGAGGAUGAUCAGCCACACUGGGACUGAGACACGGCCCAG